Molecule: ribosomal RNA, 2220 nt
Filed under: Triticum aestivum (bread wheat)
Lineage: Eukaryota; Viridiplantae; Streptophyta; Magnoliopsida; Poales; Poaceae
Description: partial small subunit ribosomal RNA
Source: RNAcentral
AUGGUUGACAUGAACACUGAUCACAUUUUUGAGGUUCCUGACACUCCUGACCGAGUACAGCAGUCAGUGUGCGCUGUAUCAAGCUCAGCUGCUACGAGAGGUGUAACAAGGAUGGCUGGAAAUCCUUCACCAGCCCGGAGACUCAAAUUUAAGAUCAAGAAUAUUUCAACCCAAGGUCAAUCAAGUAGAGGUGAUGCAGUUAGUGAACUUACUGCACCAUUAGACACUGACAAUAUUUUUAAACAAGCUGAAUUGGCUCGGAAAUUGUCCCCACCAAAGUUAGAUAGGACUACUGGGAAAUCUGUUGUGAACGGGAAUGGGGCUCACAGUCAUGAUUUGGAUCAGAGCAGCAGCAUUUCAAAUCACAUGAUUUGUAGCAGUGAUGGAGUAAGGGGCAGUAGCUGCCAAACCAGAGAAGGGCAGGUUGGUCAUCGAGACACAAGCCGUCGGCAUGUGGACUUUCUUGGUGUGGGGUCAGCUCUUCCUACUACCACGGUGGGAAACCCGCGAAACAGAGCAAAAAUUAGCACCUCUAAUGGGCUAAAGGAAGUAGUAGGUUCUGAUGUUUUUCCAGCAUCGGGUCCCAGGGAGGAAAGAAGAGAAGCGAUCAAUAUCCCGGGUACAGCAGGACUCUCAAGUACACCAUGCGAUGUUCCUCAAAGACAAGUGGUUCGGAGAAAGCUGGUGCGAAAUGGUUGUAUUUCUCCCUCUAACGUAGUCAAAACAAGUGUAAUUGCUGAUGAAAAGCGGGAAAUGUGCUCUACAAGUGGGGUAUUACACUAUCGAAAUCCUCGGGAUGAUGUUUUUCAUACAGGAACUAUAAUUGAUCUUACUGAUAAGUCACCAACAAUAACAAAGAAUGGAGCCUCUGUAAACUAUAUGGAAACAACUGCAUCCGAGAAGUUCAGAACAGCCAGUGCUGGGGGGACUCUAAUUCCACAGGGUGCAAAUCAAGCAAGCAGCAGUAACUGUUCUGAAGGUUUAAAGAACAAGGGCAAAGAAAUCAUCCAUCAUGUUAUGGGAAUUGAGCAGGCUGGAGAGGCUGAUACGAUGAGGGUUUGUCCAAGGGCCCCAGUAGGUUCUUCUUUUGUAAAUGACGACAGUACUGGCAUUUCUCAGCAAGGUUGGAGAACAACACAUAAUCAUACUAUUAAGUUACCCGUGUCAUUGUUGUGUAAGACGACCAGUACUUCUGGAAUGGAAUCUGGAUCUUCUGGACCAUCUAAUCAGGGUCAUGAAACCGCAGCAGAAGACAGCAAUAACUCAUUUGGUGCAGCAGCCGCUGCACGGUCUGCAAGUUUGAGGAAUAGGACAAUAAGGAUCAGUAAAGGAAAGAGGAAACACGCCACAAGUUCCUAUCAUCCUGGUGAAAGCUCUAGUUCUGUUAAUGAACUUGGUAGUUCAUGUCUUGCAUCUUCAGACACAACAGCUGGCAGAAAUCGUACCACUCGUCGUCAUAAUAUUUCUGUAAUAGAUAUUGAUGACAUAUCUUCCCCUGAAGCUCGAUCUAGUCUGAGUGGCCGCAGUAAUAGAACCUCGAUUGAUCCUAACGUAAGUGCACAGUUGGAGGCUGAUGAAUUGUUGGCUCGGCAACUUCAGGAGCAGCUUUACAAUGAAACACCUCGUGCUGCUCCUAGAGAAGAGAUUGAUGCAAUCGUAGCAAUGUCACUUCAACAUGAAGAAGAUGCAGAACGGACAUCUCGAGCUGUAAGAGCACCUGCAAGGUGGCUUCCCAACGAUACCAGAGCUGCACGGGCAUCGCGUUUAAGUGCUUCUCAGCGUGGUAUUAGGGCCAGAUAUGAGACGGGAAUUUCCCAUAUACAGAAUGCAGCUCCAGUAACUUUGGGUUUGAGGGCUUUUCGUGCCGGAUAUCGUGCUGCGCAUAUUCAACCUAAUAUCGAUUUAAAUGAUUAUGAUGCGCUACUUGCGUUAGAUGAAAAUAACCACCAGCAUACUGGUGCGUCGGAAAGUCAGAUCAAUAACUUGCCUCAGUCAGUAUUUCAGUCAACUAGCACCGAAGAGCCUUGCACAGUCUGCCUUGAAAAUCCAUCUUUCGGAGAUACCAUCCGCACUUUGCCAUGCUUUCACAAGUUCCACAAAGAGUGCAUCGACGAAUGGCUGAGAAGAAAGAAACUGUGCCCUGUUUGCAAAUUGGUACAUAUCGUAUCGGAGGGUUGCCCUUGGGUGUUCUGCCAAUGCCCUCGGUGCAUUUUGUUCUGA